RNAcentral lists this ribosomal RNA (253 nucleotides) under uncultured bacterium. RNAcentral describes it as "partial 16S ribosomal RNA". It matches the Rfam family "Bacterial small subunit ribosomal RNA", at positions 524 to 776 of the family's 1533-position model. The record is from RNAcentral.
AACGUAGGACGCAAGCGUUAUCCGGAAUUACUGGGCGUAAAGCGCGUGUAGGUGGUUUGAUAAGUCACUGUUGAAAGCUCCCGGCUAAACUUGGAGAGGUGCGGUGAGACUGUCAGGCUAGAGUAUGGGAGAGGGAUGCAGAAUUCCGGGUGUAGUGGUGAAAUGCGUAGAGAUCCGGAGGAAUACCAGAGGCGAAGGCGGCAUCCUGGCCUGUUACUGACACUGAGACGCGAAAGCAUGGGGAGCGAACGGG